Molecule: microRNA precursor, 111 nt
Filed under: Dinoponera quadriceps
Lineage: Eukaryota; Metazoa; Arthropoda; Insecta; Hymenoptera; Formicidae
Description: microRNA dqu-mir-307 precursor
Gene: dqu-mir-307
Rfam family: mir-67 microRNA precursor family (bases 7-99)
Source: miRBase by way of RNAcentral
AAUGGCGAUCGCGCGGACUCACUCAACCUGGGUGUGAUGCUUGCCUACGUAUCAGGCCCUAGUGGUCAUCACAACCUUUUUGAGUGAGCGAACGAGGUCGUGCCCGUCGGC